UACGGAGGAGGCAAGCGUUGUUCGGAAUUACUGGGCUUAAAGGGUGCGUAGGCGGAGUCGCAGGUGUCCUGUGAAAUCCCCCGGCUUAACCGGGGAACGGCAGGGCAAACCGCGACUCUUGAGGCCAGCAGGGGGACCCGGAACUUUGGGUGGAGCGGUGAAAUGCGUAGAGAUCCAAGGGAACGCCGAUGGCGAAAGCGGGGUCCUGGGCUGGUUCUGACGCUGAGGCACGAAAGCGUGGGGAGCAAACAGG
This 253-nucleotide ribosomal RNA is filed under the name uncultured bacterium. RNAcentral describes it as "partial 16S ribosomal RNA". It matches the Rfam family "Bacterial small subunit ribosomal RNA", at positions 524 to 776 of the family's 1533-position model. The record is from RNAcentral.